Molecule: long non-coding RNA, 1549 nt
Filed under: Cervus hanglu yarkandensis (Yarkand deer)
Lineage: Eukaryota; Metazoa; Chordata; Mammalia; Artiodactyla; Cervidae
Description: lncRNA (ENSCHYG00000010496.1)
Source: RNAcentral
AUGCUUUGGCUGGCACAGAUCCCCAAAUCCCAGCCCCAGCCCCUAACUCCAGGCUCAGAGAAGCACAAGGGUGGCUUGCCCCAGGGUCUGGGGCAUCACCUUCCUGGGCAGAUUUCAGCAUACACGGCGCACCCUUUACCUCCAUAUUCUCACCUGAGGAUAACACCAAGAGAGAAGCUGAGUAUCGGAGAGCCCACCCAGGUCUAUGGAGUGGAACAGGGAGGCCGGGGGGAGUGGGGGGAGGUCGUUGGUGGCAGGGAGGGGUGUCCAAGUUUGUAUCUCAAACGUGCCGCAAGCCCUUGGGACAGCCUCUUCCUGCUUAGAGCCAGGCUCCACUUCCUUCCAAGAGGGCAUCAGGCCAAGCUGUCUAGGCCCCCAGAGCACAGACACCUCUGUCGCCCCAGGAGAAUCAUGGAAACACCACCUGCUAAUCACGCCGAAAAGCAGGGUCAGGCCCGGCAGGAGGAGAGAGGAGCCCCUUUUCCGUGGCAGGAUACACCUGCAGGGCUUCUCGCCCAGUCGGCCGCUCCCCGCCCUGGCAGUGCCACAUUUCUGGACCAACGGGGCCCUCUGCCGGCCAGGCCGCUGCGCGCCGGUGCCUGGUCCACGGGAGAGGGAACAGGUGACAACGGGUGCAGGGCGGCAGCCCGGAACGGGCAUGAGGCACCCAGGACGGGGUCUGGGCGGGACUCGAGGCUGCCCUCGGCUCCAGGAGUGGCAGGAGGGCAGAAGGCGGGGCGGCUGGGGAGAGCCGCAGGGCUGCCUACACGAUGCCACGCAAACCUCGGGGGCCCAGCUGCAGGGCACUGCGAGGGUCCCCAGAGCUCGCCUGGCAGGACAGCCCAGAUCUGGGAGCGAGCAACCAGGAAAGGCAGGAAAGAACGAUGGGGCGCGACGAGCCAAAACCACAAAAAACUGCUGCUGCGGAGAAGCGCGCGGGGCAGCGACCCGGGAGGCGGCUGGAGGCAGCAUUCACAGCCCGCCUGGGCCCGGCGCACCAGAGAGGUCCCACAGACGCGCUCCCGCGGGUCGCGGCCCAAGCGAACGUCAGAAGCAAAGCGCAAGAAAAAUAAAAUUCCUCCAGCCUGGAGUUUUUUUCCCCCUUUGGGGCUCAGUGCAAGGAACAUCUGGAUUUUGUACGUAUUUUUUUGUUGUUGUUAAAUUAACUUCUCCGGGAGAGAAAGGAGGGGGAAACUGCAAGGCGGGUGGGUGUGCAGGGGCCAGGGAGGCUCCAGACGUUUGGCAAGAAAUCCCAGCCAAAGGCAGCCGAUAACCAGAGCUUGGUCCCGCAGCUGCAGGGAGCCUCGCGCACGGCCGCGGGCGCGGCCACAGGGACUACGGCUCCGGGGUCACGGAGGACCGGGGCCUCACGCCAGCCCGUCGGGCACGCCGGCCCCUCUCCGUGAGCCGCGCCACAGGGACACCGACUCCCGAAACCAGCGACGCGGGCGCCGCAAACAAACAGCUCCAGGCAACCCGGCGCCCCUCGCUAGCCCGGGCACCGCGCCCCGCGCACCUGGAUCGCCCCCGCCCUCGCGCCCGCGCCGGC